Molecule: ribosomal RNA, 443 nt
Filed under: uncultured bacterium
Lineage: Bacteria
Description: partial 16S ribosomal RNA
Rfam family: Bacterial small subunit ribosomal RNA
Source: RNAcentral
CCUACGGGGGGCAGCAGUGGGGAAUAUUGGGCAAUGGGCGAAAGCCUGAACCAGCAACGCCGCGUGAAGGAAGAAGGCUCUCGGGUUGUAAACUUCUUUUAUCAGGGACGAAGCAAGUGACGGUACCUGAUGAAUAAGCCACGGCUAACUACGUGCCAGCAGCCGCGGGAAUACGGAGGUGGCAAGCGUUAUCCGGAUUUCCUGGGUGUAACGGGCGUGUAGGCGGGAAAGCAAGUCAGAUGUGAAAACCAUGGGCGCAACCUGUGUCCUGCAGUUGAAACUGUUUUUCUUGAGUACUGGAGAGGCAGACGGAAUUCCUAGUGUAGCGGUGAAAUGCAUAGAUAUUAGGAGGAACACCAGUGGCGAAGGCGGUCUGCUGGACAGCAACUGACGCUGAGGCGCAAAAGCGUGGGGAGCAAACAGGAUUAGAUACCCUAGUAGUC